This 253-nucleotide ribosomal RNA is filed under the name uncultured bacterium. Its description in RNAcentral is "partial 16S ribosomal RNA". It matches the Rfam family "Bacterial small subunit ribosomal RNA", at positions 524 to 776 of the family's 1533-position model. The record is from RNAcentral.
UACGUAGGUGGCAAGCGUUGUCCGGAUUUACUGGGUGUAAAGGGCGUGCAGCCGGAGAGACAAGUCAGAUGUGAAAUCCACGGGCUCAACCCGUGAACUGCAUUUGAAACUGUUUCCCUUGAGUACCGGAGAGGUCAUCGGAAUUCCUUGUGUAGCGGUGAAAUGCCUAGAUAUAAGGAAGAACACCAGUGGCGAAGGCGGAUGACUGGACGGCAACUGACGGUGAGGCGCGAAAGCGUGGGGAGCAAACAGG